GCGAACUAUGAAUCAAGAAAUGAAUCCCGCAAAACCUUUCAUGACUGAAAACGAAAUCUCGUAAACGAAAGCAAAUGAAGCACUCUUCACACACUGGCAAACAACCUGCUUGCACAUGUUCAGAUUUCUAUCAUCAGAGGGCGCAUCGCUAGUCAAAAUAACCGAACAACCCGGACUCCCCGCCCGAGUCGUCUCUUCCUUGUGUCCAUGUCUGUGACGCCUUAUCUGUGUACCGACUACCGAGUUCUAAUUUUGAGGUUAAUUGUGUUAUUUCAAUUUGAAAGAUGUGGUAGUGAACGCCUGUGCUUACACGUUAUAAAAGGGAUAUGUUGAAGUGAAGCAUGCUGGAUUCCCACAUGAUUUAGGGAAGCAUCAAAACUGUGGUUUCUUAAAUGAAAAGAAGUUCAAAAUUCGCCAAUUGUAACAGUGAGUGUUUGAAAGAUUUUUUUUUACUAAGAUGGACUGCAGUAAACGUGAUAUAGAUAUAGAUUGAAUUGAAUGGAAUUAGCGAAAUGAGAAGAGUUAAAUUUCAAGAAAAACUGAAUAAUUCAAAAGAAGUACAAUUGAAGUUUCCUGGAGAUCAAUUACCCUCGAUGGUAGAUUGAACCGAGAAUGAAUUCAUCCCAGGACAAACUAAUAGUUCAAACCGAGGUUUAAACCGAAAAACAAAGAACCUAUUGAUUCAUGUCUCCUUAUUAUCUUCAAGUGGGUUGACCAUGUACAAUGAAUCAUUUCGUGCACAUUGCUCCAGUACCAAUCAUAUGAAAUCAUUUUCAUAAUAAGGGAAAUGUACCGUAAAACGGGGCUGCUUGAUACACUUUUCCAAAUUUUAGGUCCUACCUCGCUGUAACAAAGAUACGUUAAUCGAAACUAAAAUUAUUUUAGCUUAAUUUGGGGUGAGGGCUAU
Molecule: long non-coding RNA, 907 nt
Organism: Coccinella septempunctata (seven-spotted ladybird)
Lineage: Eukaryota; Metazoa; Arthropoda; Insecta; Coleoptera; Coccinellidae
Exons: 2
Source: RefSeq, a predicted model, not a curated record